This 577-nucleotide ribosomal RNA is filed under the name uncultured bacterium. RNAcentral's name for it is "bacterial SSU rRNA". It matches the Rfam family "Bacterial small subunit ribosomal RNA", at positions 337 to 916 of the family's 1533-position model. The record is from RNAcentral.
UCCUACGGGAGGCAGCAGUAGGGAAUAUUGCACAAUGGACGAAAGUCUGAUGCAGCAAUGCCACGUGUGGGAUGACACUUUUCGGAGCGUAAACCACUGUCAACUGGGAAUAAUAGCAUAGUAGCCCUAUGUUUGAAGGUACCAGUAAAGGAAGCACCGGCUAACUUCGUGCCAGCAGCCGCGGUAACACGAGGGGUGCAAGCGUUGUUCGGAAUCACUGGGCGUAAAGAGUUCGUAGGCGGGAUAUCAAGUCAGAUGUUUAAAGCAGGGGCCUAACCCCCGUUCGGCAUUUGAAACUGGUAUUCUUGAGUAGGUCAGAGGUUAACGGAAUUCCUAGUGUAGCGGUGGAAUGCGUAGAUAUUAGGAAGAACACCAAUUGCGAAGGCAGUUAACUGGGACCAUACUGACGCUGAGGAACGAAAGUGUGGGUAGCGAACAGGAUUAGAUACCCUGGUAGUCCACACCGUAAACGAUGUACACUAGACGUCUGGAGCUUGCUCUGGGUGUCGGAGCUAACGCAUUAAGUGUACCGCCUGGGGAGUACGCUCGCAAGAGUGAAACUCAAAUGAAUUGACGG